RNAcentral lists this ribosomal RNA (497 nucleotides) under uncultured fungus. Its description in RNAcentral is "eukaryotic LSU rRNA". It matches the Rfam family "Eukaryotic large subunit ribosomal RNA", at positions 175 to 649 of the family's 3401-position model. Lineage: Eukaryota; Fungi. The record is from RNAcentral.
CCGUGCACAAGUCUCCUGGGAUGGAGCGUCGUAGAGGGUGAGAAUCCCGUCUUUGGCACGGAUGUACCAGGGCUUUUGUGAUGCGCUCUCGAAGAGUCGAGUUGUUUGGGAAUGCAGCUCAAAAUGGGUGGUGAACUCCAUCUAAAGCUAAAUACUGGCGAGAGACCGAUAGCGAACAAGUACCGUGAGGGAAAGAUGAAAAGCACUUUGGAAAGAGAGUGAAACAGUACGUGAAAUUGUUGAAAGGGAAACGCUUGAAGUCAGUCGCGUCGACCGAGACUCAGCCUCGCCUCGGCUUGGUGUACUUCUCGGCUGACGGGUCAGCAUCAAUUUUGCCCCUUGGAUAAUGGCGAGGGAAAUGUGACACCUUCACGGUGUGUUAUAGUCUCUCGUCGCAUGCAAGGGUUGGGAUUGAGGAACUCAGCACGCGCCUUUCGGCGUCGGGGCUUUGCCCACGAUACGUGCUUAGGAUGUUGGCGUAAUGGCUUUAAACGACC